Amphiprion ocellaris (clown anemonefish) is the source of this 337-nucleotide long non-coding RNA. Lineage: Eukaryota; Metazoa; Chordata; Actinopteri; Pomacentridae. The record is from Ensembl.
AUAGCACCACUAAUCAGCAGGUCUAGAAGGAGUCAUAGUACCACUAAUCAGGAGGUCUAGAAGGAGUCAUAGUACCACUAAUCGGGAGGUCUAGAAGGAGUCAUAGUAGCACUAAUCAGGAGGUCUAGAAGGAGUCAUAGUACCACUAAUCAGGAAGUCUAGAAGGAGUCAUAGUACCACUAAUCAGGAGGUCUAGAAGGAGUCAUAGUAGCACUAAUCAGGAGGUCUAGAAGGAGUCAUAGUACCACUAAUCAGGAAGUCUAGAAGGAGUCAUAGUACCACUAAUCAGCAAGUCUAGAAGGAGUCAUAGUACCACUAAUCAGGAGGUCUAGAAGGA